UUUGUCCAGAAUCCAGAAGGCUGGUAAUUAAGUGUCGCAUGCCCUCCCCUCUGCUUCUCACUGGUCCUGAGUGUGUCCUGGAAUAACAUGUGGGCUGUGCUAUCCGGUGUUGUGUGUGUCACAGAUGCAAUUCAAAAUCCUAAGCCUGGAAGGUGAAGCCUACAGGUGUGGCAACGACCUUGCAGCCAUGACAUGGCUGUCUGAGGACACCAAAGAACACCAGAGAAGAAAGAAAGAGCUGGAGCGCCCCUGCCGCCAUGGCUGAGAACUUUGUGCAAUACAGCAGCUGCGCAUCUCCAGGCUUCUUGUAAGGUGGAAAAACCAACUUCAUUUAUCCAUGCUUACGCUGCUAGCUAUCAGGUUCUCCGUAACUUGCAGCAGAAAGCAAUUUUCACUGACUGAUACAAUGGGCAAUUACUUUUAAAAUUAGGAUGCUUAAGACUUACAAACACUAACUGGAAAUAAACAAGAAGACUUGAACUUGAAAUGAGAGUUGCCUUAUUGUUUGUGUCCUUACAUUAGUAAAAUAUCUAAAAGUAGACUCAGGAAACACAUUAAAAUACUAAUUAACUUACAAUUACUGUCUAGGAUUAUUAGAUUUUAUCAUCUUAUUGAUAAUUUUCUGAAUGCAAAAAAGCAUUAAUAAUGCUCAAAUGUAAAGUGUCACAUAUUUCCAAAUACUGCAAUAAAUACAGAUCCUUUGUUUUAACCACCAUUAACACCGUUUAAUCCCUUAAUGUGUACAGGUCAAAAUUUUAAUAUUUCUGAGUGCUCCAUGAAUAGAAAAAAAUUGAUAAUCCCUGGAAUACAUGACCCUGUGCAGACGGAGAUCUUGAGUUGAGAUCACACCAUUUCACUCCAGCCUGGGCAACAGAGUGAGACUCCAUCUAAAAAAAAAAUUAAUAAAAAAAAAAACCCACUUCACUCUUAAAGAUUUUCUGCAUCUUGACCAUAUCAAUGUCAAUUGACUGUAUCAAUGUCAAUAUCCUGGUUGUGAUAUUGUACUGUAGUUUUUUAAGAUGUUACCAUUAGGGGAAACUGGGUAAGCGAUGCAUGGCAUCUCUCUGUAUUAUUUCUUACAACUGCAUGUGAAUCUGCAAUUAUCUCAAAAUAAGAAGUUUAAUUAAAAACUUAAAAAACAAUGCUGCUGGAAAAGUAAAAUGGUGUAACCAUGUAGAACAUAGUUUGAUGGUUCCUCAAAAAGCUAGACAGAAUUACCAUAUGAUUCAGCAAUCCCACUCUUAGGUAUACACCCCCAAAAAAACUGAAAAGAGAAAUCUGAACAUACAUCUGUGUAGUGUGGGGAAAAGAAGCAAAUUUUUAAAAAAUAAAAAGAAGGAAUUUGAACAGACGCCUGUAGGACAAUGUUCACUGCAGCAUAAUCACAAUGGCCAAAAGGUGGAAACAACCCAAGUGUCCGUGGAUAGAUGAGUGGAGAAGCAAAUGUGGUAUAUACAUGAAAUGUUACUUAGUCAUAGAAAGGAAUAAAGUUCUGAUAUAUGCUAUAACAUGAAUGCACUUUAAAAACACUACGCUAAGGAAAAUAAACCAAAAGGACACCAAAGGACAAAUAUUAUGUGAUUC
Molecule: long non-coding RNA, 1584 nt
Filed under: Homo sapiens (human)
Lineage: Eukaryota; Metazoa; Chordata; Mammalia; Primates; Hominidae
Description: HSALNT0378046
Source: RNAcentral